RNAcentral lists this ribosomal RNA (498 nucleotides) under uncultured bacterium. Its description in RNAcentral is "partial 16S ribosomal RNA". It matches the Rfam family "Bacterial small subunit ribosomal RNA", at positions 28 to 507 of the family's 1533-position model. The record is from RNAcentral.
GACGAACGCUGGCGGCGUGCCUAAUACAUGCAAGUCGAACGAGAGCGACCGGUGCUUGCACUGGUCAAUCUAGUGGCGAACGGGUGAGUAACACGUGGGUAACCUGCCCAUCAGAGGGGGAUAACAUCCGGAAACGGAUGCUAAAACCGCAUAGGUCUUCGAACCGCAUGGUUUGAAGAGGAAAAGAGGCGCAAGCUUCUGCUGAUGGAUGGACCCGCGGUGCAUUAGCUUGUUGGUGUGGUAACGGCUCACCAAGGCGGUGAUGCAGAGCCGACCUGAGAGGGUGAUCGGCCACAUUGGGACUGGAACACCGCCCAAACUCCUGCGGGAGGCAGCAGUAGGGAAUCUUCCGCAAUGGACGGAAGUCUGACGGAGCAACGCCACGUGAGUUAAAAAGGUUUUCGGAUCGUAAAACUCUGUUGUUAGAGAAGAACAAGUGCUAGAGUAACUGUUAGCGCCUUGACGGUAUCUAACCAGAAAGCCACGGCUAACUACGUG